CCUACGGGAGGCAGCAGUGGGGAAUAUUGCACAAUGGGGGAAACCCUGAUGCAGCGACGCCGCGUGAGUGAAGAAGUAAUCCGUUAUGUAAAGUUCUAUCAGCAGGGAAGAAAAUGACGGUACCUGCGUAGGAAGCCCCGGCUAACUACGUGCCAGCAGCCGCGGUAAUACGUAGGGGGCAAGAGUUAUCCGGAUUUACUGGGUGUAAAGGGAGCGUAGACGGCAGGGCAAGUCGGGAGUGAAAGGCGGGGGCUCAACCUCCGUACUGCACUGGAAACUGUACGGCUGGAGUGCAGGAGAGGUAAGGGGAAUUCCUAGUGUAGCGGUGAAAUGCGUAGAUAGUAGGAGGAACACCAGUGGCGUAAGCGGCUUACUGGACUGUAACUGACGUUGAGGCUCGAAAGCGAGGGGAGCAAACAGGAUUAGAUACCCCUGUAGUC
RNAcentral lists this ribosomal RNA (440 nucleotides) under uncultured bacterium. RNAcentral's name for it is "partial 16S ribosomal RNA". It matches the Rfam family "Bacterial small subunit ribosomal RNA", at positions 338 to 795 of the family's 1533-position model. The record is from RNAcentral.